UAAAAACACAGCACUCUGCAAACACGAAAGUGGACGUAUAGGGUGUGACGCCUGCCCGGUGCUGGAAGAUUAAAUGAUGGGGUGCAAGCUCUUGAUUGAAGUCCCAGUAAACGGCGGCCGUAACUAUAACGGUCCUAAGGUAGCGAAAUUCCUUGUCGGGUAAGUUCCGACCCGCACGAAUGGCGUAACGAUGGCCACACUGUCUCCUCCAGAGACUCAGCGAAGUUGAAAUGUUUGUGAAGAUGCAAUCUCCCCGCGGCUAGACGGAAAGACCCCAUGCACCUUUACUGCAGCUUUGUAUUGGACUUUGACCAUAUCUGUGUAGGAUAGGUGGGAGGCUUUGAAGUUGUGACGCUAGUCACGAUGGAGCCGACGUUGAAAUACCACCCUGAUAUGUUUGAGGUUCUAACCUAGGUAUAACAGUACCGGGGACAGUACAUGGUAGGCAGUUUGACUGGGGCGGUCUCCUCCCAAAGAGUAACGGAGGAGUACGAAGGUAACCUAGAUACGGACGGAAAUCGUAUUGAUAGUGCAAUGGCAAAAGGUUGCUUGACUGCGAGACUGACAAGUCGAGCAGGUGCGAAAGCAGGUCAUAGUGAUCCGGUGGUUCUGAAUGGAAGGGCCAUCGCUCAACGGAUAAAAGGUACGCUGGGGAUAACAGGCUGAUACCGCCCAAGAGUUCACAUCGACGGCGGUGUUUGGCACCUCGAUGUCGGCUCAUCUCAUCCUGGGGCUGAAGUCGGUCCCAAGGGUAUGGCUGUUCGCCAUUUAAAGAGGUACGUGAGCUGGGUUUAAAACGUCGUGAGACAGUUUGGUCCCUAUCUGCCGUGGGCGUUGGAGAUUUGAGGGGGGCUGCUCCUAGUACGAGAGGACCGGAGUGGACAGACCUCUGGUGUACCGGUUGUCACGCCAGUGGCAUUGCCGGGUAGCUAAGUCUGGAAAAGAUAACCGCUGAAAGCAUCUAAGUGGGAAACUUGCCUCGAGAUAAGAUCUCCCUGAGUAUUAAAUACUCCAUAAGGGUCGUUGGAGACUACAACGUUGAUAGGUCAGGUGUGGAAGCGCAGUAAUGUGUUAAGCUAACUGAUACUAAUUGCCCGUGAGGCUUGACUCU
This 1111-nucleotide ribosomal RNA is filed under the name wastewater metagenome. Its description in RNAcentral is "bacterial LSU rRNA". It matches the Rfam family "Bacterial large subunit ribosomal RNA", at positions 1808 to 2925 of the family's 2925-position model. The record is from RNAcentral.